RNAcentral lists this ribosomal RNA (520 nucleotides) under uncultured archaeon. Its description in RNAcentral is "partial 16S ribosomal RNA". It matches the Rfam family "Archaeal small subunit ribosomal RNA", at positions 340 to 875 of the family's 1478-position model. The record is from RNAcentral.
CCCCAAACCCCCCCCUGGCAAGGGGUACCCCCAGGGGCCCCGGAAAAAGGGGGCUUUUCUGUGGUCUAAAAACCCAAGGGAAUAAGAGGGGGCAAGACUGGUGUCAGCCGCCGCGGUAACACCAGCCCCUCGAGUGGUGGGGAUGAUUAUUUGGCCUAAAGCGUCCGUAGCCGGCCUUGUAAGUCUCCCGUUAAAUCCAGCGUCUCAAGCGUUGGACUGCGGGAGAUACUGCUCGGCUAGAGAGUGGGAGAGGUAUGCGGUAUUCUGGGGGUAGGGGCGAAAUCCUUUGAUCCCCGGAGGACCACCAGUGGCGAAGGCUGCACACUAGAACACGUCUGACGGUCAGGGACGAAAGCUGGGGUAGCGAACCGGAUUAGAUACCCGGGUAGUCCCAGCUGUAAACGAUGCAUGCUAGGUGUUGGGUCGGCCAUGAGCCGCCUCAGUGCCGCAGGGAAGCCGUUAAGCAUGCCGCCUGGGGAGUACGGCCGCAAGGCUGAAACUUAAAGGAAUUGGCGGGGGA